CAUCAACAUACCCGAUUCGUCUAUAUAUAUAUAGUUAUCCCUCGAUCCCUCGCUCCCGUUUUAUCGCUCGGCCGCCGCCCAGUAAACCCUAACUCCUGGGCCCUCCCUGCGAUAGAUUCUGCCUGCAACCCGUCGAGGUGAACAAUUAUUUCACGAAAUGUCUCGAGUUUAUGUUGGGAACUUGGAUUCACGAGUGACUGAAAGAGAUCUAGAAGAUGAAUUUCGAGCAUUUGGUGUACUUCGAAGUGUUUGGGUUGCUCGAAGGCCUCCUGGUUAUGGAUUUGUUGAAUUUGAUGACCGGCGAGAUGCCUUAGAUGCCAUUCGAGAUUUAGAUGGGAAGCACGGGUGGCGUGUGGAGCUUUCUCAUAAUUCCAAGGGUGGCGGUGGUGGUCGUGGUGGAUAUGGACGAGGUGGUGGGGACAUGAAUUGUUACGAAUGUGGUGAACCUGGUCACUUUGCCCGAGAGUGUAGAUUGCGGAUUGGUCCAGGUGGCAUGGGUAGUGGAAGGCGUCGAAGCCCUAGCCCACCUCGCUAUCGGCGGAGCCCUAGCUAUGGUCGUGGAAGUCGCAGUCCACGAGGGAGAAGAUCCCCUCUUCGUCGCAGCUAUUCAUCUCGUAGUCGAUCACCUGCACCUCGCCGUCAAGAUUCUCCUUACAGUAACAGGAGUCCCGACAGGGAUCGACGCCAUAGUUAUUCACCUCGCCUUGGCAAGAACUGCAGCCGUUCACCAGCAUAUCGUCGUCAAGACUCUCCUUAUGCCAAUGGGGAUGGGCGGAGGAGCCGGAGCAGGAGUAGGAGCAGGAGCUAGAGUACACCAUGUGUCUGAUAAAUCCAACAGAAAUUAUCUAUUUCAAUAUGACCUUGACUGGUUAGACCGUAGAUUCGAUGUCCUACGAUAAUUAGUUGGCUUAAAGUGGUUAAAUGUGGACUCUGGAGCUUUGGAUUCUUCACCUUUUGGUUGGAGCACUCUCCUCAGCUUGCUGGCAUUUGGAGAGGCUCUCUGCUUUCUCUUCACUGUCUGUAUUUGUGCUAAGUGGCAAGAGCAGCACCCAUGACAUCUCUCUCACUGUCUGUUUCUGCUAAGUGGCACGGGCAGCACCCAUGGGAUCUCUUUCAGUGCCUCAGGUUUCUGCUUUUGUCUUCUCAUGAUCUAUUUCUACUAAGUAGCACAGCAUCUCCGUGGGAUCUCCCUCACUUGGAUUUUCUGCUUUUGUGCUUCUCACCAUCAAUCUCUCACCAAGAUCAGAAACUUUGCUGUGGCACUGUUGGCCUGCCUAAUGCAAUGACUCUUUUGUGAUGCACCGGACACUAAUGUCUUUCUAUUAGCUUUGUUAACAUGGAGCAAUGGCUGGAGCCCCCACAAGUUUCAGGUGCUGCAUUUUACCAUGAUAAUAAACUGAUGCUUAUGUUUA
Molecule: RNA transcript, 1412 nt
Organism: Musa acuminata AAA Group (dessert banana)
Lineage: Eukaryota; Viridiplantae; Streptophyta; Magnoliopsida; Zingiberales; Musaceae
Gene name: serine/arginine-rich splicing factor RSZ21A-like
Exons: 8
Source: RefSeq, a predicted model, not a curated record